AUAAACGCAAGAAUAUUUACUUCCAUAAUCUCAUCGUUUCUUUUUCUUUACUUCGUAAUAACUCGGGAUUUAAUCCCAUAGAGAUAAUAAAUAAAAAAUCUUUCGCCUCUAAAUUCAAUGGGAUGAAUUCCAUCUCGAAGAUAUCGAGUCUGAUCAAUAUCAUGAAUAACAAUAUUUGAGUUAUCAAAUCGAUUCAUCGUCGAGAAUUGAAUAGUAUAACAUAGAAAGAUCGUUUAUCCAUAUUGAAUUCAAAAAUGGCUGGAUUCUUGAUUCAAUUGAUAAUUCUUUUUUCCAUUACUUUUUUUUUUAUUUGAUAUUUAUUUUAUUAAUAUCCCCAUUCUUUGGUAAUGGAAUGCAUAGAAUAUAUUAAAAAUAAAAAAACUUCAGUGCGCAAUUUGAAUGAGAUAGAUUGUUUCAAAUUCAAAUUUGUAAUUGAGAUUACACAAAAUUGGAGCAAAAAAAAAAGAGACUUUUCAGAUAAAGAUUAAAAGGAUUCUAUCAAAGCAAUUAAAUUGAUUUUGUAUCGUACAUACAUACAUACAAAUAAAUAAAAAUUCCAUUUGUGUAUGCGUUACCGGAAAAGAUAUGGUACUUGAUUCGAUUUCAUUAUAUGGGUCGGGAGUAAUCAAAAAAUCCAAAUUCAGUAUAGUAUCUUUUUGAAUCUUGGAUAUAACGUUACCAAUAAUUGUACUAAUCCACAUAUGUCCCUAUCAAUCAGUACUGGUU
This 726-nucleotide long non-coding RNA is filed under the name Ricinus communis (castor bean). RNAcentral describes it as "long non-coding RNA (RCOM_LNC001898)". Lineage: Eukaryota; Viridiplantae; Streptophyta; Magnoliopsida; Malpighiales; Euphorbiaceae. The record is from RNAcentral.